This 258-nucleotide long non-coding RNA is filed under the name Hordeum vulgare. RNAcentral describes it as "long non-coding RNA (HVUL_LNC004461)". The record is from RNAcentral. Lineage: Eukaryota; Viridiplantae; Streptophyta; Magnoliopsida; Poales; Poaceae.
UACACAUGUAGGUACUAACUACGGAUCCAUAGGUUUGUGGUGAACUACACACACAUCACCAUGCACUACUAGGGAAAACCCUAGAACUAGUGCAGGUCAAAAGCCAAGUAGUAGCACGGGCAGUCGCGCUACUGCUAUGGCGCUACAUCUAACUUUUAGCAGUAGUGCUGGUUGUCGAGCGCUACAGCUCACCUUUAGCAGUAGCGCCGGUUGCCCAGCGCUACUGGUAAGUGAGUUAGCAUUAGCGUGUUUUUAACC